This 1301-nucleotide long non-coding RNA is filed under the name Lonchura striata (white-rumped munia). RNAcentral describes it as "domestica (Bengalese finch) lncRNA (ENSLSDG00000000980.1)". Lineage: Eukaryota; Metazoa; Chordata; Aves; Passeriformes; Estrildidae. The record is from RNAcentral.
UUGGGAAUUUUUGGGGAUAUUUUGGGGAUUUUAUUGGGACAUUUGGGGGGAUUUUAUUUGGAUUAUUUUGGGAUUUUAGUGUGAAUUUUUUGGGCAUAAUUGGGACAUUUUGGGGGAUUUUUUUGCUGAUAUUUUUUUAAAUUUUUGGGGCUAUUUUGGGGGAUUUUUGGGGCUAUUUUUGGGGCUAUUUUGUGGAGUUUUUGGGGCUAGUUUUGGGACGAUUUUUGGGGGAUUUUUUGGGGGAUUUUUUGGGGCUAUUUAUGGAGAUUUUUGGAGAUUUUUGGGGCUAUUUUGGGGGAUUUUGGGGGCUAUUUUUGGAGAUUUUUGGGGCUAUUUUUGGGGCUAUUUUUGGAGAUUUUUGGGGCUAUUUUGGGGCUAUUUUUAGGACUAUUUUGGGGCUAUUUUUGGGGGACUUGGGGCUAUUUUGGGGCUAUUUUUGGGGAUUUUUGGGGCUAUUUUUGGGGCUCUUUUGGGCUAUUUUGGGGGCUAUUUUUGGGGCUAUUUUGGGGGCUUUUUUGGAGAUUUUUGGGGCUAGUUUUGGGGCUAUUUUUGCAGAUUUUUGGGACUAUUUUGGGGGACUUUUGGGGCUAUUUUGGGAGAUUUUUGGGGCUAUUUUUGGAGAUUUUUGGGGCUAUUUUGGGGGACUUUUGGGGCUAUUUUGGGGGAUUUUUGGGGCUAUUUUGGGGGCUAUUUUUGGGGCUAUUUUGGGGCUAUUUUGGGGCUAUUUUGGGCUAUUUUUGGGGCUAUUUUUGGAGAUUUUUGGGGCUAUUUUGGGGCUAUUUUUGGGGCUAUUUUUGGCGAUUUUUGGGGCGAUUUUUGGAGAUUUUUGGGGCUAUUUUGNCGAUUUUUGGAGAUUUUUGGGGCUAUUUUGGGGCUAUUUUUGGGGCUAUUUUUGGCGAUUUUUGGGGCGAUUUUUGGAGAUUUUUGGGGCUAUUUGGGGCUAUUUUUGGGGCUAUUUUUGGAGAUUUUUGGGGCUUUUUUGGGGCUAUUUUUGGCGAUUUUUGGGGCGAUUUUUGGAGAUUUUUGGGGCUAUUUUUGGGGCUAUUUUUGGAGAUUUUUGGGGCUAUUUUUGGAGAUUUUUAGGACUAUUUUGGGCUAUUUUUGGGGCUAUUUUUGGCGAUUUUUGGGGCUAUUUUUAGGACUAUUUUGGGGGAUUUUUGGGACUAUUUUGGGGCUAUUUUGGGUCUAUUUUUGGGACUAUUUUGGGGCUAUUUUUGGGGAUUUUGGGGCUGAUUUGGGUGGUUUUGGGCUCUCUCUCCGCAGGCUCUCUGCGCUUCCCCGCCCGGGAGUUCGGGCGCGAU